This 253-nucleotide ribosomal RNA is filed under the name uncultured bacterium. RNAcentral describes it as "partial 16S ribosomal RNA". It matches the Rfam family "Bacterial small subunit ribosomal RNA", at positions 524 to 776 of the family's 1533-position model. The record is from RNAcentral.
UACGUAGGGUGCGAGCGUUGUCCGGAAUUAUUGGGCGUAAAGAGCUUGUAGGCGGUUUGUCGCGUCUGCUGUGAAAAUCCGGGGCUCAACCCCGGGCCUGCAGUGGGUACGGGCAGACUAGAGUGCGGUAGGGGAGACUGGAAUUCCUGGUGUAGCGGUGGAAUGCGCAGAUAUCAGGAGGAACACCAAUGGCGAAGGCAGAUCUCUGGGCCGUAACUGACGCUGAGGAGCGAAAGCAUGGGGAGCGAACAGG